UGGGGAAUAUUGGACAAUGGGCGCAAGCCUGAUCCAGCCAUGCCGCGUGGGUGAAGAAGGCCUUCGGGUUGUAAAGCCCUUUUGUUGGGGAAGAAAUCGUGCAGGUGAAUAUCCUGCGCGGAUGACGGUACCCAAAGAAUAAGCACCGGCUAACUUCGUGCCAGCAGCCGCGGUAAUACGAAGGGUGAAAGCGUUACUCGGAAUUACUGGGCUUAAAGCGUACGUGGGCGGUUCGUUAAGUCCGUUGUGAGAGCCCUGGGCUCAACCUGGGAAUUGCAGUGGAUACUUGCGAGCUUGAGCACGGUAGAUGAUGGUGUAAGUCCCGGUGUAGCCGUGAAAUGCGUAGAGAUCGUGAGGAACACCCGUGGCGAAGGCGGCCAUCUGGACCAGUACUGACGCUGAGGCACGAAAGCGUGGGGAGCAAACA
Molecule: ribosomal RNA, 427 nt
Filed under: uncultured bacterium
Lineage: Bacteria
Description: bacterial SSU rRNA
Rfam family: Bacterial small subunit ribosomal RNA
Source: RNAcentral